This is a long non-coding RNA of Cyprinus carpio carpio, 614 nucleotides long. NCBI's taxonomy places the organism in Eukaryota, Metazoa, Chordata, Actinopteri, Cypriniformes, Cyprinidae. The record is from Ensembl.
UGUUUCAUGCAGAGACCACCAGCUAUAUAAGUGAUCAUAUAAUCUAGCACGCUUGAAGCUCUGUUUGCAUCUGUUGGGACUGUACACUUCUCACAAUAUGCAUCUUCAGACCUUGCUGUCAUUCGUGGUCAUCUUGACUCUCACACUCCACGCCUGUCUGAGUGAACCAGACAUGCUGCACCCACCUCGACCCUGCACUGAAGCAGAAAACGAGAAUGGUUACAACACUUUUCUUAAACGGCAUGUACGCAAUGACAUACCAACCGAUCUGAACAAAGAAAACUGGAAAAAGUUUAUUAACAGAAUCAGAACCUGGAACAGAACGAUUCAGUCAUUCUUUCCCUUCAGUGAGAAAGACAACGUGGAAGCUGUGUGUUCAUCAGGAGGAAAGAUGUUUGAGAGCAACCUCUGCAUCAGCAAGAAGCCUUUUUCCUUCAUCACUAUUAAGAUUGACAAAACGUCGCUAGUGUCAGGAGAGAGAAGCAAGCACGUCUUACACAUCUAAACUGAUGCUCCACAAAGAUUUUGGAUUUAUUUUCAAUACACAGAUUUUACAAUGGAAAUUAAGUUAGAAAAUACACAGCUAUGCAUUUAAAGGGUUAAAAAUAGGACAG